This 306-nucleotide ribosomal RNA is filed under the name uncultured bacterium. RNAcentral's name for it is "partial 16S ribosomal RNA". It matches the Rfam family "Bacterial small subunit ribosomal RNA", at positions 505 to 808 of the family's 1533-position model. The record is from RNAcentral.
GACAGCAGCAGCCGCGGUAAUACGUAGGUCCCGAGCGUUGUCCGGAUUUAUUGGGCGUAAAGCGAGCGCAGGCGGUUAGAUAAGUCUGAAGUUAAAGGCUGUGGCUUAACCAUAGUACGCUUUGGAAACUGUUUAACUUGAGUGCAAGAGGGGAAAGUGGAAUUCCAUGUGUAGCGGUGAAAUGCGUAGAUAUAUGGAGGAACACCGGUGGCGAAAGCGGCUCUCUGGCUUGUAACUGACGCUGAGGCUCGAAAGCGUGGGGAGCAAACAGGAUUAGAUACCCCCGUAGUCCCUGUCUCUUAUACA